CCGCAUAACAACUUUAAACAUAAGUUUUAAGUUUGAAAGAUGCAAUUGCAUCACUCAAAGAUGAUCCCGCGUUGUAUUAGCUAGUUGGUGAGGUAAAGGCUCACCAAGGCGAUGAUACAUAGCCGACCUGAGAGGGUGAUCGGCCACAUUGGGACUGAGACACGGCCCAAACUCCUACGGGAGGCAGCAGUAGGGAAUCUUCGGCAAUGGACGAAAGUCUGACCGAGCAACGCCGCGUGAGUGAAGAAGGUUUUCGGAUCGUAAAACUCUGUUGGUAGAGAAGAACGUUGGUGAGAGUGGAAAGCUCAUCAAGUGACGGUAACUACCCAGAAAGGGACGGCUAACUACGUGCCAGCAGCCGCGGUAAUACGUAGGUCCCGAGCGUUGUCCGGAUUUAUUGGGCGUAAAGCGAGCGCAGGUGGUUUAUUAAGUCUGGUGUAAAAGGCAGUGGCUCAACCAUUGUAUGCAUUGGAAACUGGUAGACUUGAGUGCAGGAGAGGAGAGUGGAAUUCCAUGUGUAGCGGUGAAAUGCGUAGAUAUAUGGAGGAACACCGGUGGCGAAAGCGGCUCUCUGGCCUGUAACUGACACUGAGGCUCGAAAGCGUGGGGAGCAAACAGGAUUAGAUAUCCCUGGUAGUCCACGCCGUAACGAUGAGUGCUAGAUGUAGGGAGCUAUAAGUUCUCUGUAUCGCAGCUAACGCAAUAAGCACUCCGCCUGGGGAGUACGACCGCAAGGUUGAAACUCAAAGGAAUUGACGGGGGCCCGCACAAGCGGUGGAGCAUGUGGUUUAAUUCGAAGCAACGCGAAGAACCUUACCAGGUCUUGACAUACUCGUGCUAUUCCUAGAGAUAGGAAGUUCCUUCGGGACACGGGAUACAGGUGGUGCAUGGUUGUCGUCAGCUCGUGUCGUGAGAUGUUGGGUUAAGUCCCGCAACGAGCGCAACCCCUAUUGUUAGUUGCCAUCAUUAAGUUGGGCACUCUAACGAGACUGCCGGUGAUAAACCGGAGGAAGGUGGGGAUGACGUCAAAUCAUCAUGCCCCUUAUGACYUGGGCUACACACGUGCUACAAUGGAUGGUACAACGAGUCGCGAGACAGUGAUGUUUAGCUAAUCUCUU
This 1118-nucleotide ribosomal RNA is filed under the name Lactococcus lactis. RNAcentral describes it as "bacterial SSU rRNA". Lineage: Bacteria; Bacillati; Bacillota; Bacilli; Lactobacillales; Streptococcaceae. The record is from RNAcentral.